Xyrichtys novacula (pearly razorfish) is the source of this 4635-nucleotide non-coding RNA. NCBI's taxonomy places the organism in Eukaryota, Metazoa, Chordata, Actinopteri, Labriformes, Labridae. The record is from the annotation of a GenBank genome assembly.
GGUUUUUUAGCAUGUGUAAUGGCAUGAAUGUGUUGAAUUAGUAAUCCCUUGUGUUAAGCCGUUGUUUUAGUGUUCUUUUGGUGAGUUUGGCUUGUUGUUAUGAAAAGUGUUUGUUUUGGCGAGUUUGAACGUUUUUGAGCAUGUGUAACGGCAUGAAUGCGUCAAGUUGUUGUUUUAGUGUUCUUAUGAUGAGUUUGGCUUGUUGUUAUGAACAUUGUUCGUUUUGGCGAGUUUGAAGGUUUUUGAGCAUGUGUAAUGGCAUGAAUGUGUUGAAUUAGUAAUCCCUUGUGUUAAGCUGUUGUUUUAGUGUUCUUUUGACGAGUUUGGCUUGUUGUUAUGAAAAGUGUUUGUUUUGGCGAGUUUGAACGUUUUUGAGCAUGUGUAAUGGCAUGAAUGCGUUAAGCUGUUGUUUUAGUGUUUUUUUGAUGAGUUUGGCUUGUUGUUAUGAACAUAGUUCCUUUUGGCCAGUUUGAAGGUUUUUUAGCAUGUGUAAUGGCAUGAAUGUGUUGAAUUAGUAAUCCCUUGUGUUAAGCCGUUGUUUUAGUGUUCUUUUGAUGAGUUUGGCUUGUUGUUAUGAAAAGUGUUUGUUUUGGCGAGUUUGAACAUUUUUGAGCAUGUGUAAUGGCAUGAAUGCGUUAAGCUGUUGUUUUAGUGUUCUUUUGAUGAGUUUGGCUUGUUGUUAUGAAAAGUGUUUGUUUUGGCGAGUUUGAACGUUUUUGAGCAUGUGUAAUGGCAUGAGUGCGUUAAGCUGUUGUUUUUGUGUUCUUUUGAUGAGUUUGGCUUGUUGUUAUGAAAAGUGUUUGUUUUGGCGAGUUUGAACGUUUUUGAGCAUGUGUAAUGACAUGAAUGCGUUAAGCUGUUGUUUUAGUGUUUCUUUGAUGAGUUUGGCUUGUUGUUAUGAACAUAGUUCCUUUGGGCCAGUUUGAACGUUUUUUAGCAUGUGUAAUGGCAUGAAUGUGUUGAAUUAGUAAUCCCUUGUGUUAAGCCGUUGUUUUAGUGUUCUUUUGGUGAGUUUGGCUUGUUGUUAUGAAAAGUGUUUGUUUUGGCGAGUUUGAACGUUUUUGAGCAUGUGUAAUGGCAUGAAUGCGUUAAGCUGUUGUUUUAGUGUUCUUUUGAUGAGUUUGGCUUGUUGUUAUGAAAAGUGUUUGUUUUGGCGAGUUUGAACGUUUUUGAGCAUGUGUAACGGCAUGAAUGCGUUAAGCUGUUGUUUUAGUGUUCUUAUGAUGAGUUUGGCUUGUUGUUAUGAACAUUGUUCGUUUGGGCCAGUUUGAAGGUUUUUUGCAUGUGUAAUGGCAUGAAUGUGUUGAAUUAGUAAUCCCUUAUGUUAAGCUGUUGUUUUAGUGUUCUUUUGAUGAGUUUGGCUUGUUGUUAUGAAAAGUGUUUGUUUUGGCGAGUUUGAACGUUUUUGAGCAUGUGUAAUGGCAUGAAUGUGUUGAAUUAGUAAUCCCUUGUGUAAAGCUGUUGUUUUAAUGUUCUUUUGAUGAGUUUGGCUUGUUGUUAUGAAAAGUGUUUGUUUUGGCGAGUUUGAACGUUUUUGAGCAUGUGUAAUGGCAUGAAUGCGUUAAGCUGUUGUUUUAGUGUUCUUUUGACGAGUUUGGCUUGUUGUUAUGAAAAGUGUUUGUUUUGGCGAGUUUGAACGUUUUUGAGCAUGUGUAAUGGCAUGAAUGCGUUAAGCUGUUGUUUUAGUGUUCUUUUGAUGAGUUUGGCUUGUUGUUAUGAAAAGUGUUUGUUUUGGCGAGUUUAAACGUUUUUGAGCAUGUGUAAUGGCAUGAGUGCGUUAAGCUGUUGUUUUUGUGUUCUUUUGAUGAGUUUGGCUUGUUGUUAUGAAAAGUGUUUGUUUUGGCGAGUUUGAACGUUUUUGAGCAUGUGUAAUGGCAUGAAUGCGUUAAGCUGUUGUUUUAGUGUUCUUUUGAUGAGUUUGCCUUGUUGUUAUGAACAUAGUUCCUUUUGGCCAGUUUGAAGGUUUUUUAGCAUGUGUAAUGGCAUGAAUGUGUUGAAUUAGUAAUCCCUUGUGUUAAGCCGUUGUUUUAGUGUUCUUUUGAUGAGUUUGGCUUGUUGUUAUGAAAAGUGUUUGUUUUGGCGAGUUUGAACGUUUUUGAGCAUGUGUAAUGGCAUGAAUGCGUUAAGCUGUUGUUUUAGUGUUCUUUUGAUGAGUUUGGCUUGUUGUUAUGAAAAGUGUUUGUUUUGGCGAGUUUGAACGUUUUUGAGCAUGUGUAAUGGCAUGAGUGCGUUAAGCUGUUGUUUUAGUGUUCUUUUGAUGAGUUUGGCUUGUUGUUAUGAAAAGUGUUUGUUUUGGCGAGUUUGAACGUUUUUGAGCAUGUGUAAUGACAUGAAUGCGUUAAGCUGUUGUUUUAGUGUUUUUUUGAUGAGUUUGGCUUGUUGUUAUGAACAUAGUUCCUUUGGGCCAGUUUGAAGGUUUUUUAGCAUGUGUAAUGGCAUGAAUGUGUUGAAUUAGUAAUCCCUUGUGUUAAGCCGUUGUUUUAGUGUUCUUUUGGUGAGUUUGGCUUGUUGUUAUGAAAAGUGUUUGUUUUGGCGAGUUUGAACGUUUUUGAGCAUGUGUAAUGGCAUGAAUGCGUUAAGCUGUUGUUUUAGUGUUCUUAUGAUGAGUUUGGCUUGUUGUUAUGAACAUUGUUCGUUUGGGCCAGUUUGAAGGUUUUUUUGCAUGUGUAAUGGCAUGAAUGUGUUGAAUUAGUAAUCCCUUAUGUUAAGCUGUUGUUUUAGUGUUCUUUUGAUGAGUUUGGCUUGUUGUUAUGAAAAGUGUUUGUUUUGGCGAGUUUGAACGUUUUUGAAAAUGUGUAAUGGCAUGAAUGCGUUAAGCUGUUGUUUUAGUGUUCUUAUGAUGAGUUUGGCUUGUUGUUAUGAACAUUGUUCGUUUGGGCCAGUUUGAAGGUUUUUUUGCAUGUGUAAUGGCAUGAAUGUGUUGAAUUAGUAAUCCCUUAUGUUAAGCUGUUGUUUUAGUGUUCUUUUGAUGAGUUUGGCUUGUUGUUAUGAAAAGUGUUUGUUUUGGCGAGUUUGAACGUUUUUGAGCAUGUGUAAUGGCACGAAUGCGUUAAGCUGUUGUUUUAGUGUUCUUUUGAUGAGUUUGGCUUGUUGUUAUGAAAAGUGUUUGUUUUGGCGAGUUUGAACGUUUUUGAGCAUGUGUAAUGGCAUGAGUGCGUUAAGCUGUUGUUUUAGUGUUCUUUUGAUGAGUUUGGCUUGUUGUUAUGAAAAGUGUUUGUUUUGGCGAGUUUGAACGUUUUUGAGCAUGUGUAAUGACAUGAAUGCGUUAAGCUGUUGUUUUAGUGUUUUUUUGAUGAGUUUGGCUUGUUGUUAUGAACAUAGUUCCUUUGGGCCAGUUUGAAGGUUUUUUAGCAUGUGUAAUGGCAUGAAUGUGUUGAAUUAGUAAUCCCUUGUGUUAAGCCGUUGUUUUAGUGUUCUUUUGGUGAGUUUGGCUUGUUGUUAUGAAAAGUGUUUGUUUUGGCGAGUUUGAACGUUUUUGAGCAUGUGUAAUGGCAUGAAUGCGUUAAGCUGUUGUUUUAGUGUUCUUAUGAUGAGUUUGGCUUGUUGUUAUGAACAUUGUUCGUUUGGGCCAGUUUGAAGGUUUUUUUGCAUGUGUAAUGGCAUGAAUGUGUUGAAUUAGUAAUCCCUUAUGUUAAGCUGUUGUUUUAGUGUUCUUUUGAUGAGUUUGGCUUGUUGUUAUGAAAAGUGUUUGUUUUGGCGAGUUUGAACGUUUUUGAGCAUGUGUAAUGGCAUGAAUGUGUUGAAUUAGUAAUCCCUUGUUUAAAGCUGUUGUUUUAAUGUUCUUUUGAUGAGUUUGGCUUGUUGUUAUGAAAAGUGUUUGUUUUGGCGAGUUUGAACGUUUUUGAGCAUGUGUAAUGGCAUGAAUGCGUUAAGCUGUUGUUUUAGUGUUCUUUUGACGAGUUUGGCUUGUUGUUAUGAAAAGUGUUUGUUUUGGCGAGUUUGAACGUUUUUGAGCAUGUGUAAUGGCAUGAAUGCGUUAAGCUGUUGUUUUAGUGUUCUUUUGAUGAGUUUGGCUUGUUGUUAUGAACAUUGUUCGUUUUGGCCAGUUUGAAGGUUUUUUAGCAUAUGUAAUGGCAUGAAUGUGUUGAAUUAGUAAUCCCUUGUGUUAAGCCGUUGUUUUAGUGUUCUUUUGAUGAGUUUGGCUUGUUGUUAUGAAAAGUGUUUGUUUUGGCGAGUUUGAACGUUUUUGUGCAUGUGUAAUGGCAUGAAUCCGUUAAGCUGUUGUUUUAGUGUUAUUUUGAUGACUUUGGCUUGUUGUUAUGCACAUUGUUUAUUUUAGAGAGUUUGAAGGUUUUUGAGCAUGAGUUAUGGCAUGUAUGUGUUGAAUUAGUAAUCCCUUGUGUUUAGUUGUUGUUGUAGUGUUCUUUUAAAGAGUUUGGCUUCUUGUUAUGAUCAUUGUUUGUUUUGGCGAGUUUGAAGGUUUUUGAGCAUGUUUUAUGGCAUGCAUCUGUUGAGUUUUUUACCCCCUGUGUUUAGCUGUUGUUUAAGUGUUAUUUUGAUGUGUUGGCUUGUUGUUAUGAUCGUAGUUUGUACUGGCGAGUUUGAAGGUUUGUGCGCAUGGUUUAUGGCUCGUAUGUGUUGAAUUUGCUACCCCUUGUGCUAAAUUGUAUUUUAAGUGUUCUUUUAAAGAGUUUG